AGGACGAACGCCGGCGGCGUGCUUAACACAUGCAAGUCGAGCGGUAAGCCCCUUCGGGGGUACACGAGCGGCGAACGGGUGAGUAACACGUGAGUAAUCUGCCCUUCACUUCGGGAUAACCGCCGGAAACGGCGGCUAAUACCGGAUACGACCAGCCUUCGCAUGAGGUGCUGGUGGAAAGUCUUGUCGGUGAAGGAUGUGCUCGCGGCCUAUCAGCUUGUUGGUGGGGUAAUGGCCUACCAAGGCUUCGACGGGUAGCCGGCCUGAGAGGGUGACCGGCCACACUGGGACUGAGACACGGCCCAGACUCCUACGGGAGGCAGCAGUGGGGAAUAUUGGACAAUGGGCGAAAGCCUGAUCCAGCAACGCCGCGUGAGGGAUGGACGGCCGUUCGGGUUACGUAACCUCUUUCAGUUACCGGACGAAGCGCGUCCUAGGAGUGGUGACGGUAGGUACAGAAGGAAGGACCGGACCAACUACGUCGCCGAGACGACGCCCGACGGUAA
This 506-nucleotide ribosomal RNA is filed under the name uncultured soil bacterium. RNAcentral's name for it is "bacterial SSU rRNA". It matches the Rfam family "Bacterial small subunit ribosomal RNA", at positions 26 to 523 of the family's 1533-position model. The record is from RNAcentral.